RNAcentral lists this ribosomal RNA (454 nucleotides) under uncultured bacterium. RNAcentral describes it as "bacterial SSU rRNA". It matches the Rfam family "Bacterial small subunit ribosomal RNA", at positions 340 to 786 of the family's 1533-position model. The record is from RNAcentral.
UACGGAAGGCAGCAGUGGGGAAUAUUGCACAAUGGGCGCAAGCCUGAUGCAGCCAUGCCGCGUGUAUGAAGAAGGCCUUCGGGUUGUAAAGUACUUUCAGCGGGGAGGAAGGCGAUGUGGUUAAUAACCGCGUCGAUUGACGUUACCCGCAGAAGAAGCACCGGCUAACUCCGUGCCAGCAGCCGCGGUAAUACGGAGGGUGCAAGCGUUAAUCGGAAUUACUGGGCGUAAAGCGCACGCAGGCGGUCUGUUAAGUCAGAUGUGAAAUCCCCGGGCUUAACCUGGGAACUGCAUUUUGAACUGGCAGGCUUGAGUCUCGUAGAGGGGGUAGAAUUCCAGGUGUAGCGGUGAAAUGCGUAGAGAUCUGGAGGAAUACCGGUGGCGAAGGCGGCCCCUGGGACGAAGACUGACGCUCAGGGUGCGAAAGCGUGGGGAGCAAACAGGAUUAGAUACC